AGAGUUUGAUUAUGGCUCAGGAUGAACGCUAGCGACAGGCUUAACACAUGCAAGUCGAGGGGCAUCACGGGAGUAGCAAUACAACUGGUGGCGACCGGCGCACGGGUGAGUAACGCGUAUGCAACCUACCUAUCAGAGGGGAAUAACCCGGCGAAAGUCGGACUAAUACCGCAUAAAACAGGGGCACCGCAUGGUGAUAUUUGUUAAAGAAAUUCGCUGAUAGAUGGGCAUGCGUUCCAUUAGGUAGUUGGUGAGGUAACGGCUCACCAAGCCGACGAUGGAUAGGGGAACUGAGAGGUUGGUCCCCCACACUGGUACUGAGACACGGACCAGACUCCUACGGGAGGCAGCAGUGAGGAAUAUUGGUCAAUGGGCGGGAGCCUGAACCAGCCAAGUCGCGUGAAGGAAGAAGGAUCUAUGGUUCGUAAACUUCUUUUGCAGGGGAAUAAAGUGCAGGACGUGUCCUGUUUUGUAUGUACCCUGAGAAUAAGGAUCGGCUAACUCCGUGCCAGCCGCAGC
Molecule: ribosomal RNA, 519 nt
Filed under: uncultured bacterium
Lineage: Bacteria
Description: bacterial SSU rRNA
Rfam family: Bacterial small subunit ribosomal RNA
Source: RNAcentral